AGCCCUGCAGUCUGAUGAACAUUCUAGAGUAUGUGGACACAGACGGACGCUCUGGCCACAGCUUGUUGACCUGGGACUCGGCAAUGUCCGCCCUCUCCUCCGCCUCAUCCAGCUCGUGCUGCACCUUGCGGAACUUGGACAGCCUCCAGCUCAUUUUCCAGCUCCCGAACCCGGGCCUCCAGCUUCUGCAGCUGCUUCUUGCCGCCCUUGAGCGCGAUCUGCUCUGCCUCAUCCAGACGAUGCUGCAAGUCCUUGAUGGUCUGCUCCAUGUUCUUCUUCAUGCGCUCCAGGUCAUCAUUGGCACGGACAGCAUCAUCCAGCUGGAUUUGAGUGUCCUGAGGAUCAGAAAAAUGAGUGGCCUCAUUGCGGCUGCGUGUCUCCGCAUCCAGGGAGGUCUGCAGGGAGUCCACCAUCCGCAGGUGGUUGCGCUUAGCCUGCUCCAUCUCCUCAUCCUUCUCUGCCAGCUUCCUUUCGAUCUCUGCCUUGAUCUGGUUGAACUCCAGCUGGGCGCGGAGGAUCUUGCCCUCCUCAUGCUCCAGGGAGGCCUGGAAAGGAUAUAGAUUUUGCAGGCUUAUAGUCAGAGACCAGGGUGGAAGCAUGGGUGUGUCUAAAAACCAUGGCACAUUUGGGAAUGGUAUACAUGACUCAGUAGGAGAUGCAGAGGAAGGAAAUGAGAAAAAGUGUGCACAAGAGAAAUGAAAGCAAGCUGAAGAGAAGGGGAUGCAGACUCCCAGGGGGGUGGAGGGAGUCAGCUUUAAAGACAGAGAGGAAAAUGAAAAGUGUUGCCAAGGAAACAGAGGCAAUGAAGCAGAGAGUGAAAGA
This 822-nucleotide long non-coding RNA is filed under the name Mus caroli (Ryukyu mouse). RNAcentral's name for it is "lncRNA (MGP_CAROLIEiJ_G0002879.1)". Lineage: Eukaryota; Metazoa; Chordata; Mammalia; Rodentia; Muridae. The record is from RNAcentral.